GACGAACGCUGGCGGCGUGCCUAACACAUGCAAGUUGAGCGACGAACCAGGGCUUGCCCUGGGGCAAAGCAGCGAACGGGUGAGUAACACGUGGGUAACCUACCCCGAUAACCGGGACAACCCGAGGAAACCCGGGCUAAUACCGGAUGUGCUCACUGGACUUCGGUUCAGUGCGUAAAGGAAGCUUCGGCCUCCGUAUCGGGAGGGGCCCGCGGCCCAUUAGUUUGUUGGUGAGGUAACGGCUUACCAAGACCGCGAUGGGUAGCUGGUCUGAGAGGACGAUCAGCCACACUGGGACUGAGACACGGCCCAGACUCCUACGGGAGGCAGCAGUGGGGAAUCUUGCGCAAUGCGCGAAAGCGUGACGCAGCAACGCCGCGUGGGGGAAGAAGGCCUUCGGGUUGUAAACCCCUUUCAGGAGGGACGAAGGUUCGGCGGUGAAUAGCCGCCCGGACUGACGGUACCUCCACAAGAAGCCCCGGCUAACUACGUG
Molecule: ribosomal RNA, 493 nt
Filed under: uncultured bacterium
Lineage: Bacteria
Description: partial 16S ribosomal RNA
Rfam family: Bacterial small subunit ribosomal RNA
Source: RNAcentral